This is a long non-coding RNA of Marmota monax (woodchuck), 858 nucleotides long. RefSeq lists it as uncharacterized. Lineage: Eukaryota; Metazoa; Chordata; Mammalia; Rodentia; Sciuridae. The transcript is spliced from 3 exons. The record is from RefSeq and is a predicted model, not a curated record.
CUUUCCUUCAAUUUGUCCUAUUUCAUCUAAUGCAGUUACAUUGAACAAAGUAGGAUCAUGAUGAGAACAAAAAUUCCAAGAGGUGCGUGGUGCACAACUAUCAUAACAGCUACUCAGGAGACUGAAGCAGGAGGAUCAGAAGUUUGAGGCCAGCCUCAGCAAUUUAAAGAGACCCUGACUCAGAAAAUGAAAAAGUGAUUUCAAAAUCUCUAUGGUCCCUGGAAUGCUUUUUAUAUCAAUGGGAGAGCUGGGUUCUACUGAAAGUGCUCCUGCGGUUUUGUCACUUGAGGAGGACAUUGCUUCGAUUGCAUAUGACCAUCAUCUCUUCUCCAGUCUAGAAUUAGUGGUACUAUUACUUUUGGGAAAAUGGCCUUGCUGUACUGUAUGGAUUCUAGGGAAAAGGGUAUCAAUACAGCCCUCUGGAAACUCAUGGACACUGAGUCACAUGACCCUGUUAGCCAAACAAAACUGCUACUAUGGGAUUUGUACUUCAUUUAGAAAGAAAUAAGUUCUCUUCUCUUAGACUAGAGGGAUGAGGUGAGCCUGAAUAAUUGCAGACCGUUCUUCGUUACCUGUAGGCUUGCUCAGCUUUCAUCUGUGUGAUAGAAGGAUUGAUUUAUAUAUGCUCAUGCUAGUAUGCUUAGGUGGCAAGGAGUCUAUCUCCCUGGCAGGAUGCCUGUAGCAUGACUCUACCCAGGAAAAAAGAAGUUUCUUCAGAGAAUUUUUUUUCUGAGAUGUUUUCAGUUUUAGUUUUCCCAUUUCCAAGCACUGCCAUCUCUUCUUGCUGCAGGAAAAGUUUGGAAACUAAAAGUCAAGUUUUAUGACAGAUUGCUCAGCAAUCUGUCCUGUGGUUGGGAU